AGCGAACGUUAGCGGCGGGCCUAACACAUGCAAGUCGUACGAGAACGCUCCUUCGGGAGUUAUUAAAGUGGCGCACGGGUGAGGAACGCGUAGGUAAUCUACCCUCAGGCCGGGGGACAACACUCCGAAAGGAAUGCUAAUACCGCGUAAGACCACACUCACUAAGGUGAGAGUGGUAAAAGAUGGCCUCUUCUUGAAAGCUAUCACCAGAGGAUGAGCCUGCGUCCCAUCAGCUUGUUGGUAAGGUAACGGCUUACCAAGGCGAAGACGGGUAGCUGGUCUGAGAGGAUGAUCAGCCACACUGGCACUGGAACACGGGCCAGACUCCUACGGGAGGCAGCAGUGAGGAAUAUUGGGCAAUGGGCGCAAGCCUGACCCAGCCACGCCGCGUGUGUGAUGAAGGCCUUCGGGUCGUAAAGCACUGUGGGAGGGACGAAAAACCUCCGUUCGAAUAGGACGGAGGCUUGACGGUACCUCCUUAGCAAGCACCGGCUAACUCUGUG
Molecule: ribosomal RNA, 503 nt
Filed under: uncultured bacterium
Lineage: Bacteria
Description: bacterial SSU rRNA
Rfam family: Bacterial small subunit ribosomal RNA
Source: RNAcentral